RNAcentral lists this transfer RNA (74 nucleotides) under Patescibacteria group bacterium. RNAcentral describes it as "tRNA-Pro". It matches the Rfam family "tRNA". Rfam says of the family: Transfer RNA (tRNA) molecules are approximately 80 nucleotides in length. The record is from RNAcentral.
CGGGGCGUGGCCUAGUGGCUUAAGGCGCCUGCUUUGGGAGCAGGAGAUCGUGAGUUCAAAUCUCACCGCCCCGA